This is a long non-coding RNA of Micropterus salmoides (largemouth bass), 663 nucleotides long. RefSeq lists it as uncharacterized. The record is from RefSeq and is a predicted model, not a curated record. The transcript is spliced from 3 exons. Lineage: Eukaryota; Metazoa; Chordata; Actinopteri; Centrarchiformes; Centrarchidae.
UGCUUUGCUGAGCCAAUGAAUGAAAUAUGGUCGCCGGAAGUGACAUAGCACUAGUCUCCUUGCUCAGCAUGUAUCAUGGAUCAUACGUAAACACAAUUUAACGUUUUAUUAUCAGGUCAAUGUUCCCGUAUUUCUAGAACUCUAUGACAAAUGGCGCAAGGAGGUGUGUUACUUCAGGCAUAGCAGUUUGGCCGUUAACUUAAUCGUCUGAAAAGAGUUGGGAAUUAAACUUGUUUUGAAUUUUCUUUAACCCGCAGUUAGUAUAUGGAAUAUUUUUGUUACCAACUGGACUAAAGUCUGUCAGCAGGAAUCUGGAAAUAUCUUCUUAAUAACGACCUCUGAUGAUGCCACUGCUGGAUACGUGAAAUGCAUCACUCCCUGUGGCCAAGAGGCUCCUGUCCUGUGAGGAUUGACCAACCACAAAGUUUUCUCAGGUCAGUCCAUUGACAGACUGAGAGCUGGGGCCUCUACACAGUUAAAGAAGCUCCGUGCAGUGGGCCAUUCAAUAAGCUGCCGCAUCUUUCACAGCUUUAUCAAAUCACUUAGUAUAGAGUGGGAAAACUUGCAAGGCUUUCAUAAAAUAUUCCUUUGGAAAAACAAUUAUAAUUAAUACUCCUUUAUCCCAAAAUAAACCCAGAAAACAUGCUGUUUCUUGUAAUAACC